CCACCACCAACAAGAUCAGUCACAACAACAUCUCCCAGUCUCUUCUUCUACAUCCAGAACUUAUGAACCUAAACAAUGAGAGUUCUAGAAUGUGUGUUCCUCCUAGCUGUCAUCUCUGCUGUUCAGGGACAGUCACUCACCUCCUCUGAAUCAGUGGUGAAGAGACCUGGAGAGCCAGUAACACUGUCCUGUACUGUGUCUGGAUUCUCCAUGGGAAGCAACUACAUGCACUGGAUCCGUCAGAAACCAGGAAAGGGACUAGAGUGGAUUGGACGGAUUGAUACUGGCACUGGCACUAUAUUUGCCCAGUCAUUGCAAGGCCAGUUCAGUAUCACUAAAGACAACUCCAAAAACCAGCUGAACUUAGAAGUGAAAAGCCUGAAAGCUGAAGACUCUGCUGUUUAUUAUUGUGCCAGAGACACAGUGACACAGAAGACUGCAGCACAUUACAAAAACUGAUCAACCCUGAUCUCAGUGAGGCAACGAUGCAACUGUGUUCUUUUAUCCACAAAACACACAAUGGCACACUGAUAUCAAUGUUAUCCACACACAAUCACACAGACAUUAAAAAGCUAACUAUUUAAAUUCACACAGAAAUCAGACUGAUCAUUUUAUAGUUUAGGUAAUCUUAAACAAAUGUAGAGGACAUCACUGAAUUAAUGUUACCAGUCAACCGAAAAACAGUUAAACACCCAAUAAUGUUUUUAUUAAAAAUACGGAGAACGAAAUAUAGAGAACUUGUAAUGGUUUCCAAUUUCCACACUUAGUAAAUAAAACAUUACAUG
Esox lucius (northern pike) is the source of this 785-nucleotide non-coding RNA. The record is from the annotation of a RefSeq genome assembly. NCBI's taxonomy places the organism in Eukaryota, Metazoa, Chordata, Actinopteri, Esociformes, Esocidae.